GUGGGGAAUAUUGCACAAUGGAGGAAACUCUGAUGCAGCGACGCCGCGUGAAUGAUGAAGGCCUUCGGGUCGUAAAAUUCUGUCCUUGGGGAAGAUAAUGACGGUACCCAAGGAGGAAGCCCCGGCUAACUACGUGCCAGCAGCCGCGGUAAUACGUAGGGGGCGAGCGUUGUCCGGAAUUAUUGGGCGUAAAGGGUUCGCAGGCGGUCUGAUAAGUCAGAUGUGAAAGGCUAUGGCUUAACCAUAGUAAGCAUUUGAAACUGUCAGACUUGAGUUAAGGAGAGGAAAGUGGAAUUCCUAGUGUAGCGGUGAAAUGCGUAGAUAUUAGGAGGAAUACCAGUGGCGAAGGCGACUUUCUGGACUUAUACUGACGCUGAGGAACGAAAGCGUGGGGAGCAAACAGGAUUAGAAACCCUAGUAGUCC
RNAcentral lists this ribosomal RNA (424 nucleotides) under uncultured bacterium. Its description in RNAcentral is "bacterial SSU rRNA". It matches the Rfam family "Bacterial small subunit ribosomal RNA", at positions 354 to 796 of the family's 1533-position model. The record is from RNAcentral.